Molecule: ribosomal RNA, 653 nt
Filed under: uncultured bacterium
Lineage: Bacteria
Description: bacterial SSU rRNA
Rfam family: Bacterial small subunit ribosomal RNA
Source: RNAcentral
AAAAGGUGGCUAUGCUACCGCUUUUGGAUGGGCCCGCGGCGCAUUAGCUAGUUGGUGGGGUAAAGGCUUACCAAGGCAAUGAUGCGUAGCCGAACUGAGAGGUUGAUCGGCCACAUUGGGACUGAGACACGGCCCAAACUCCUACGGGAGGCAGCAGUAGGGAAUCUUCCACAAUGGGCGAAAGCCUGAUGGAGCAACGCCGCGUGGGUGAAGAAGGUCUUCGGAUCGUGAAACCCUGUUGUUAGAGAAGAAAGUGCGUGAGAGUAACUGUUCACGUUUCGACGGUAUCUAACCAGAAAGCCACGGCUAACUACGUGCCAGCAGCCGCGGUAAUACGUAGGUGGCAAGCGUUAUCCGGAUUUAUUGGGCGUAAAGGGAACGCAGGCGGUCUUUUAAGUCUGAUGUGAAAGCCUUCGGCUUAACCGGAGUAGUGCAUUGGAAACUGGGAGACUUGAGUGCAGAAGGGGAGAGUGGAACUCCAUGUGUAGCGGUGAAAUGCGUAGAUAUAUGGAAGAACACCAGUGGCGAAAGCGGCUCUCUGGUCUGUAACUGACGCUGAGGUUCGAAAGCGUGGGUAGCAAACAGGAUUAGAUACCCUGGUAGUCCACGCCGUAAACGAUGAAUGCUAAGUGUUGGAGGGUUUCCGCCCUUCA